This 395-nucleotide ribosomal RNA is filed under the name Prymnesiophyceae sp. RNAcentral's name for it is "partial small subunit ribosomal RNA". It matches the Rfam family "Eukaryotic small subunit ribosomal RNA", at positions 582 to 975 of the family's 1831-position model. Lineage: Eukaryota; Haptophyta. The record is from RNAcentral.
AUUCCAGCUCCAAUAGCGUAUAUUAAAGUUGUUGCAGUUAAAAAGCUCGUAGUCUGAACCUUGGUCGGCAUUGAGCGUCCGAGGCCUUUGGUCUCGCGCAUGCGAUCUGCCUGGCCAUGUACUUCGGAGGAGCGCGUGUGCUUUUCACUAAGUGCGCGUGGGAUUCCGAUAGUUUACUUUGAGAAAAAUAGAGUGUUCAAAGCAGGCGUUUGCCUUGAAUACAUUAGCAUGGGAUAAUGAAAUAGGACUCUGGUGCUAUUUUGUUGGUUUCGAACACCGGAGUAAUGAUUAACAGGGACAGUCAGGGGCACUCGUAUUCCACCGAGAGAGGUGAAAUUCUCAGACCAGCGGAGGACGAACCACUGCGAAAGCAUUUGCCGGGGAUGUUUUCAUCG